RNAcentral lists this ribosomal RNA (422 nucleotides) under uncultured bacterium. RNAcentral's name for it is "bacterial SSU rRNA". It matches the Rfam family "Bacterial small subunit ribosomal RNA", at positions 355 to 774 of the family's 1533-position model. The record is from RNAcentral.
UGAGGAAUAUUGGACAAUGGGCGCAAGCCUGAUCCAGCCAUGCCGCGUGCAGGAAGAAGCAUCUAUGGUGUGUAAACUGCUUUUGUACGGGAAGAAACACUCCUACGUGUAGGAGCUUGACGGUACCGUAAGAAUAAGGAUCGGCUAACUCCGUGCCAGCAGCCGCGGUAAUACGGAGGAUCCAAGCGUUAUCCGGAAUCAUUGGGUUUAAAGGGUCCGUAGGCGGUUUAAUAAGUCAGUGGCGAAAGCCCAUCGCUCAACGAUGGAACGGCCAUUGAUACUGCUAGACUUGAAUUACAAGGAAGUAACUAGAAUAUGUAGUGUAGCGGUGAAAUGCUUAGAUAUUACAUGGAAUACCAAUUGCGAAGGCAGGUUACUACUUGUGGAUUGACGCUGAUGGACGAAAGCGUGGGGAGCGAACA